Molecule: non-coding RNA, 71 nt
Organism: Cordylochernes scorpioides
Lineage: Eukaryota; Metazoa; Arthropoda; Arachnida; Pseudoscorpiones; Chernetidae
Source: the annotation of a GenBank genome assembly
UGUCCAAUGCGGGAAUCGAACCCGGGUCCUAGUGGUCGAAAACCAAACGGUUUAAAUUGAGUUAAUUAAAC